ACGACCAUCUCUACCACGUAAUAUUUGAAGAUAUACUGAUCUUACCAGAGUAUCAUUAACCUUUUCUUCAGUAAUUAGAGAAGGUUGAUAAGGAACUGGCCAGCGGUGAAUACUUCAUGAAAGAGAAAGAACGACAGCAGAGGAAAGAAGAAAAUAGAAAAAAACAACGUGUUGAAGCAUCAAAGAAGAGAAAGCUUGAGAGAGAAGAAAGUUUGAAGGCUCCAGCAGAAGAACCAGUUACAAAGAAACACAAGCCAGAGAAACAACCUGAAGUUGUGGUUGUUGAUGUGGAUAAAAUCAAAUCGCAAGUGAAAGAAAACGUUAAGAAGAAAAGAGUCCAUUUUAAACUUUAGAACUUGUGUGUGAAUCAAGUUAUUUUAACAAAAUAAUUACACACUGUA
Amphimedon queenslandica is the source of this 401-nucleotide long non-coding RNA. RefSeq lists it as uncharacterized. NCBI's taxonomy places the organism in Eukaryota, Metazoa, Porifera, Demospongiae, Haplosclerida, Niphatidae. The transcript is spliced from 4 exons. The record is from RefSeq and is a predicted model, not a curated record.